This is a long non-coding RNA of Cheilinus undulatus (humphead wrasse), 402 nucleotides long. RefSeq lists it as uncharacterized. The transcript is spliced from 3 exons. The record is from RefSeq and is a predicted model, not a curated record. NCBI's taxonomy places the organism in Eukaryota, Metazoa, Chordata, Actinopteri, Labriformes, Labridae.
CUUGAUGAUGAUUCUUCUUCUCCCCUUGACUCUGUGGAGGAGGAAGAAGGACACUAUGGAGGCUGAACCUGCAGAAGCAAUGGAGUUAAACUCUGAUCCUGCGUACGAGAACAUCUCAGCCGUCACUGCAGCACAGAGAGAAGACAGAGAGGAGCAGGAAGAUGCUGUAUGAAGUCCUCAGGUUAGAGCCUCCUGCACUGAAUAAACAGAGCCACUGUAGAUUAACAGUCAUCUAUGUCACAUGUUACAACCAUACUAUACCAGUAUUCCAUUCACUUUUCUGUCAUGUUCUUUAAAUGCUGUUGAAUCAGGAGAAGACUUCCUGUGGAGAAGUGGGGACAUUUGCCUUCAGCUGCUGUAGGCUGAUAUGAAUUCAUGUUAAAUUGUUACUGAGAGACAAAA